This 873-nucleotide ribosomal RNA is filed under the name Pectobacterium odoriferum. RNAcentral describes it as "bacterial LSU rRNA". It matches the Rfam family "Bacterial large subunit ribosomal RNA", at positions 890 to 1759 of the family's 2925-position model. Lineage: Bacteria; Pseudomonadati; Pseudomonadota; Gammaproteobacteria; Enterobacterales; Pectobacteriaceae. The record is from RNAcentral.
UCAUCUUCGGGGGUAGAGCACUGUUUCGGCUAGGGGGUCAUCCCGACUUACCAACCCGAUGCAAACUACGAAUACCGAAGAAUGUUAUCACGGGAGACACACGGCGGGUGCUAACGUUCGUCGUGAAGAGGGAAACAACCCAGACCGCCAGCUAAGGUCCCAAAGUCAUGGUUAAGUGGGAAACGAUGUGGGAAGGCACAGACAGCCAGGAUGUUGGCUUAGAAGCAGCCAUCAUUUAAAGAAAGCGUAAUAGCUCACUGGUCGAGUCGGCCUGCGCGGAAGAUGUAACGGGGCUAAACCAUGCACCGAAGCUGCGGCAGCGACACUUAGGUGUUGUUGGGUAGGGGAGCGUUCUGUAAGCCGUCGAAGGUGGCCUGUGAGGGCUGCUGGAGGUAUCAGAAGUGCGAAUGCUGACAUAAGUAACGAUAAUGCGGGUGAAAAACCCGCACGCCGGAAGACCAAGGGUUCCUGUCCAACGUUAAUCGGGGCAGGGUGAGUCGACCCCUAAGGCGAGGCUGAAAAGCGUAGUCGAUGGGAAACAGGUUAAUAUUCCUGUACUCGGUGUUACUGCGAAGGGGGGACGGAGAAAGCUAGGUUAUCCGGGCGACGGUUGUCCCGGUUUAAGCGUGAAGGUGGAUGACUUUGGUAAAUCCGGGUCGUCAUUAACACUGAGGCGUGAUGACGAGUCACUACGGUGAUGAAGUAACUAAUGCUACGCUUCCAGGAAAAGCCUCUAAGCUCCAGGUAACAUCAAAUCGUACCCCAAACCGACACAGGUGGUCAGGUAGAGAAUACUCAGGCGCUUGAGAGAACUCGGGUGAAGGAACUAGGCAAAAUGGUGCCGUAACUUCGGGAGAAGGCACGCUGAUGGUA